Molecule: long non-coding RNA, 442 nt
Filed under: Canis lupus familiaris (dog)
Lineage: Eukaryota; Metazoa; Chordata; Mammalia; Carnivora; Canidae
Description: lncRNA (ENSCAFG00845018950.1)
Source: RNAcentral
AUGCCAGCCGAGGAGAGAACAGUGCAGGGGGAAGGACCGGGUGUCACCCCCCAGCUGUGGGACGUGCAGAGGAAGGAAGUACAGGACGAGCUACAGCUCGGGCCUCCGCGGGUGGCUGUGAGCAUCAUGCAACCUCAUAGAUGCAGGCCGCUGGGUGUGGCACCUGGCACAGAGUGCGCGCUCGGUUCAGGUUGCUUAGCACUGCUGUUAUUCUCUUUAUGUGGUCCGUUUCCCCAUGACACACAAGACAGAAACAGCAGCCUCUUCGAAGGAGGAGCUGGAAGAAGAAAUAUGCCAAGAGUUAAGUUCUUCAUCUUUUUGGCUGUCUCUCCACAAAAACAUAUCCUAUAUCAUCUCUUCUGCUGGUGAUUGUGAUUCUCCCUGGUAAGAAACAGUCUUGUACCAGGGAUUGAUUGGGAAGACCAGGUUGCAAAUUUUGCUG